GCCAGCGUGGUGUAGUGAUUUGAAUGCUGGAUUUGGACUCUGGAGACCAGGGUUUGAAUCCCAGCUGAGCCA
Phrynosoma platyrhinos (Desert horned lizard) is the source of this 72-nucleotide non-coding RNA. The record is from the annotation of a GenBank genome assembly. Lineage: Eukaryota; Metazoa; Chordata; Lepidosauria; Squamata; Phrynosomatidae.